CUGCCCCGUGCCGGGGGACAACAGCCGGAAACGGCUGCUAAUACCGCAUGAUCCGGGAGGGCCGCAUGGCCCUGCCGGGAAAGCUCCGGCGGCACGGGAUGGGCCCGCGUCUGAUUAGUUUGUUGGCGGGGUAACGGCCCACCAAGACUGCGAUCAGCAGCCGGCCUGAGAGGGCGGCCGGCCACAUUGGGACUGAGACACGGCCCAGACUCCUGCGGGAGGCAGCAGUGGGGAAUAUUGCACAAUGGGGGAAACCCUGAUGCAGCGACGCCGCGUGGGCGACGAAGCGCUCCGGCGCGUAAAGCCCUGUCAGCAGGGAAGGACAAAGACAGUACCUGACCAAGAAGCCCCGGCUAACUACGUGCCAGCAGCCGCGGUAAUACGUAGGGGGCAAGCGUUAUCCGGAUUCACUGGGCGUAAAGGGAGCGCAGGCGGCACGGCAAGUCUGGUGUGAAAGCCCGGGGCCCAACCCCGGGACUGCAUUGGAAACUGCCGGGCUGGAGUGCCGGAGGGGUAAGCGGAAUUCCUGGUGUAGCGGUGAAAUGCGCAGAUAUCAGGAAGAACACCGGUGGCGCAGGCGGCUUACUGGACGGCAACUGACGCUGAGGCUCGAAAGCGUGGGGAGCAAACAGGAUUAGAUACCCUGGUAGUCCACGCCGUAAACGAUGA
RNAcentral lists this ribosomal RNA (669 nucleotides) under uncultured bacterium. RNAcentral describes it as "bacterial SSU rRNA". It matches the Rfam family "Bacterial small subunit ribosomal RNA", at positions 126 to 812 of the family's 1533-position model. The record is from RNAcentral.